RNAcentral lists this ribosomal RNA (497 nucleotides) under uncultured bacterium. RNAcentral's name for it is "partial 16S ribosomal RNA". It matches the Rfam family "Bacterial small subunit ribosomal RNA", at positions 28 to 507 of the family's 1533-position model. The record is from RNAcentral.
GAUGAACGCUGGCGGCGUGCCUAAUACAUGCAAGUCGAGCGAACGGACGAGAAGCUUGCUUCUCUGAUGUUAGCGGCGGACGGGUGAGUAACACGUGGAUAACCUACCUAUAAGACUGGGAUAACUUCGGGAGACCGUAGCUAAUACCGGAUAAUAUUUUGAACCGCAUGGUUCAAAAGUGAAAGACGGUCUUGCUGUCACUUAUAGAUGGAUCCGCGCUGCAUUAGCUAGUUGGUAAGGUAACGGCUUACCAAGGCAACGAUGCAUAGCCGACCUGAGAGGGUGAUCGGCCACACUGGAACUGAGACACGGUCCAGACUCCUACGGGAGGCAGCAGUAGGGAAUCUUCCGCAAUGGGCGAAAGCCUGACGGAGCAACGCCGCGUGAGUGAUGAAGGUCUUCGGAUCGUAAAACUCUGUUAUUAGGGAAGAACAUAUGUGUAAGUAACUGUGCACAUCUUGACGGUACCUAAUCAGAAAGCCACGGCUAACUACGUG